Molecule: ribosomal RNA, 254 nt
Filed under: Achromobacter sp.
Lineage: Bacteria; Pseudomonadati; Pseudomonadota; Betaproteobacteria; Burkholderiales; Alcaligenaceae
Description: partial 16S ribosomal RNA
Rfam family: Bacterial small subunit ribosomal RNA
Source: RNAcentral
CCCUUAAGGCUAGGACUUCACACUUCAUACAAUGGUCGGGACAGAGGGUCGCCAACCCGCGAGGGGGAUACAAUCCCAGAUCCCCGAUCGUAGUCCGGAUCGCAGUCUGCAACUCGACUGCGUGAAGUCGGAAUCGCUAGUAAUCGCGGAUCAGCAUGUCGCGGUGAAUACGUUCCCGGGUCUUGUACACACCGCCCGUCACACCAUGGGAGUGGGUUUUACCAGAAGUAGUUAGCCUAACCGCAAGGGGGGCG